Molecule: ribosomal RNA, 494 nt
Filed under: uncultured bacterium
Lineage: Bacteria
Description: partial 16S ribosomal RNA
Rfam family: Bacterial small subunit ribosomal RNA
Source: RNAcentral
GACGAACGCUGGCGGCGUGCCUAAUACAUGCAAGUCGAACGCUGAAGGAGGAGCUUGCUUCUCUGGAUGAGUUGCGAACGGGUGAGUAACGCGUAGGUAACCUGCCUGGUAGUGGGGGAUAACUAUUGGAAACGAUAGCUAAUACCGCAUAAUAGCAGUUGUUGCAUGAUAACUGUUUGAAAGGUGCAAUUGCACCGCUACCAGAUGGACCUGCGUUGUAUUAGCUAGUUGGUGGGGUAACGGCUCACCAAGGCGACGAUACAUAGCCGACCUGAGAGGGUGAUCGGCCACACUGGGACUGAGACACGGCCCAGACUCCUACGGGAGGCAGCAGUAGGGAAUCUUCGGCAAUGGACGGAAGUCUGACCGAGCAACGCCGCGUGAGUGAAGAAGGUGUUCGGAUCGUAAAGCUCUGUUGUAAGAGAAGAACGAGUGUGAGAGUGGAAAGUUCACACUGUGACGGUAUCUUACCAGAAAGGGACGGCUAACUACGU